This 67-nucleotide transfer RNA is filed under the name Ciona savignyi (Pacific transparent sea squirt). Its description in RNAcentral is "tRNA (ENSCSAVG00000012520.1)". The record is from RNAcentral. Lineage: Eukaryota; Metazoa; Chordata; Ascidiacea; Phlebobranchia; Cionidae.
AAAAAAAUAGUUUAAAUUAAAACAUAUAGUUUGAAACUAUAAAAUUCUAUUAAUAAUGAUUUUUUUG